Molecule: small nuclear RNA, 21 nt
Filed under: Arabidopsis thaliana (thale cress)
Lineage: Eukaryota; Viridiplantae; Streptophyta; Magnoliopsida; Brassicales; Brassicaceae
Description: snRNA_03503
Source: RNAcentral
UUACAUCGAUAGUUUCGAUUA